Raphanus sativus (radish) is the source of this 1053-nucleotide long non-coding RNA. RefSeq lists it as uncharacterized. The transcript is spliced from 4 exons. The record is from RefSeq and is a predicted model, not a curated record. Lineage: Eukaryota; Viridiplantae; Streptophyta; Magnoliopsida; Brassicales; Brassicaceae.
CCUAGGUCCGUUAUGUGGAGUACACGCGAUUUGAAACUAAAGAGCAAUCGAAUCUCGGAGAUCGAAGAAGCUAGGUUGCUUAUUGUUUCGAGAUACGCGACCGGUUCAAGUGAAUGCAACUGCGGUUCUUGUGAAUCUCUCUUUGGUGAAAUCCAACAAACGGUCAGGAAAUUGUUCCACCGUUGAUCGACGUUCUCAAAUGCGAGAGUGAUUUUCAGUUUGGCUCUCGAGGGCGAGAACAAGACGGCGAUCGGUGUUCUUGGAGCGCUGGAGCCGUUGUUUCAUCUGAUCCGAGUCGGGACUGAGUUGACUCGGCAUGACUCGAUGCUUGCUCUGUAUUAUCUCUCUCGUGCAGAGCAACCGAGGGAAGCUCGUGAAGCUCGGAGCCGUUCAGGUUCUUCUGAACAUGGCGAGGUUAGGACAGGCGAUGAAUAGGGUUCUGCUGAUUGAUUCUAUGUAACAUGGCUUCGUGUCCGGUGAAUCGACCUGCUUUACUUGACUCGGGAGCUGUCGAGUGUAUGGUUGGGAUUUUGAGAGGGCUUAGAGAGGCUAGUGAGUCGACUCGGUGGCGACGGUGAGAAGUCACAUGUUAACACUUGUAAAAUCUCCACAAUCCUAAUCUAUAUGUUCACAACUUACAUCUGUUCUCAACGAUUCUUAGUUCCAUAAUCUUUUUUGGUGCUCAACUCUGCUAAUAAUUCUCAUGGGCAAAGCAGUUUCGUGGCAAGAGCUGGUACUGACAGAAAGCAGUCGUUUUGCCCAUACUGUGUGAGAGUGAAAGACCUUUUGCAGCACUUGGAUGCUAAGUUCCUUGGGAUUGUACUCGACAAAGAGACGGUAACCAAACUGCACAAAGACAGUAAGUUGGUUUAUGUUGACUGAAGCUGGAGCUUUCACUGCAAAAGCUUGAACAAUUUCUGCUUUAUAAGCACAUCCAUUUGUGAUUUGCUUCUUCUAUCAGGAAUAAAAGAGAACAAGUUUGUGUAAUAAAUGUCAACUUUGUCUGAAACUAAGUUGUGGUUAUAUCGAAGUCGGUUGAUACAUUUAUGUUUU